GGAAACGACCGCUAAUACCCCAUAUGCCGAGAGGUGAAAUGAAUUUCGCCUGAGGAUGAGCUCGCGUCUGAUUAGUUAGUUGGUGGGGUAAUGGCCUACCAAGACAUCGAUCAGUAGCUGGUCUGAGAGGAUGAUCAGCCACACUGGGACUGAGACACGGCCCAGACUCCUACGGGAGGCAGCAGUGGGGAAUUUUCCGCAAUGGGCGAAAGCCUGACGGAGCAACGCCGCGUGAGGGAUGAAGGCCUCUGGGCUGUAAACCUCUUUUAUCAAGGAAGAAGAUCUGACGGUACUUGAUGAAUAAGCCACGGCUAAUUCCGUGCCAGCAGCCGCGGUAAUACGGGAGUGGCAAGCGUUAUCCGGAAUUAUUGGGCGUAAAGCGUCCGCAGGCGGUCUGUCAAGUCUGCUGUUAAAGCGUGGAGCUUAACUCCAUUUCGGCAGUGGAAACUGACAGACUAGAGUGUGGUAGGGGCAGAGGGAAUUCCCGGUGUAGCGGUGAAAUGCGUAGAUAUCGGGAAGAACACCAGUGGCGAAGGCGCUCUGCUGGGCCAUAACUGACGCUCAUGGACGAAAGCCAGGGGAGCGAAAGGGAUUAGAUACCCCUGUAGUCCUGGCCGUAAACGAUGAACACUAGGUGUCGGGGGAAUCGACCCCCUCGGUGUCGUAGCCAACGCGUUAAGUGUUCCGCCUGGGGAGUACGCACGCAAGUGUGAAACUCAAAGGAAUUGACGGGGGCCCGCACAAGCGGUGGAGUAUGUGGUUUAAUUCGAUGCAACGCGAAGAACCUUACCAGGGUUUGACAUCCUGCGAAUCUCUUGGAAACGAGAGAGUGCCUUCGGGAACGCAGUGACAGG
Molecule: ribosomal RNA, 854 nt
Filed under: uncultured bacterium
Lineage: Bacteria
Description: bacterial SSU rRNA
Rfam family: Bacterial small subunit ribosomal RNA
Source: RNAcentral